RNAcentral lists this long non-coding RNA (309 nucleotides) under Medicago truncatula (barrel medic). RNAcentral describes it as "long non-coding RNA (MTRU_LNC007233)". The record is from RNAcentral. Lineage: Eukaryota; Viridiplantae; Streptophyta; Magnoliopsida; Fabales; Fabaceae.
GAUGUGUCAAUGAUUGUGUGGGUUCUAGAAAUUUCUGACACUGUGUUUGUAUUUAUAGCUGACAUGUGUAUUCCUGGACCAAUGGGAUAAUGCCACCUGGAAUUGGACCUUGCUUGGCUCUGCCUUGGACUUUUGACCUUAAGGACUUAUCUGCAAAAUAGGAAAAUUGAAGGACCAAACAGCAAAUAAGAAAAAGCGGACUAAAAUGCAAUUUAUAAACUGUUUAGGGACUAAAAUGCAAUUAAAAAAUAAAAUUGGACUAAAAUUGGUAAUUUGAAAAAAACGUAAAGUGAAACCAAAAGUAAAAUC